ACGAACGCUGGCGGCAUGCCUAAUACAUGCAAGUCGAGCGGUGCAGCAAUGCAUAGCGGCGGACGGGUGAGUAACGCGUGGGCAACCUGCCUCAAGGAUUGGGAUAACACCCCGAAAGGGGUGCUAAUACCGAGUGUGCUCUAGGUGCCGCAUGGCAUAUAGAGGAUAGGAGAAAUCCGUUUUGAGAUGGGCCCGCGUCUGAUUAGCUAGUUGGUAGGGUAACGGCCUACCAAGGCGACGAUCAGUAGCCG
Molecule: ribosomal RNA, 251 nt
Filed under: uncultured bacterium
Lineage: Bacteria
Description: partial 16S ribosomal RNA
Rfam family: Bacterial small subunit ribosomal RNA
Source: RNAcentral